This 845-nucleotide ribosomal RNA is filed under the name Microbacterium sp. beet1-3-26. Its description in RNAcentral is "partial 16S ribosomal RNA". Lineage: Bacteria; Bacillati; Actinomycetota; Actinomycetes; Micrococcales; Microbacteriaceae. The record is from RNAcentral.
UCUCCUCCCAGCGGGGUACUUAAUGCGUUAGCUGCGUCACGGAAACCGUGGAAUGGUCCCCACAAAAGUUCCCAACGUUUACGGGGUGGACUACCAGGGUAUCUAAGCCUGUUUGCUCCCCACCCUUUCGCUCCUCAGCGUCAGUUACGGCCCAGAGAUCUGCCUUCGCCAUCGGUGUUCCUCCUGAUAUCUGCGCAUUCCACCGCUACACCAGGAAUUCCAAUCUCCCCUACCGCACUCUAGUCUGCCCGUACCCACUGCAGACCCGAGGUUGAGCCUCGGGAUUUCACAGCAGACGCGACAAACCGCCUACGAGCUCUUUACGCCCAAUAAUUCCGGAUAACGCUUGCGCCCUACGUAUUACCGCGGCUGCUGGCACGUAGUUAGCCGGCGCUUUUUCUGCAGGUACCGUCACUUUCGCUUCUUCCCUGCUAAAAGAGGUUUACAACCCGAAGGCCGUCAUCCCUCACGCGGCGUUGCUGCAUCAGGCUUCCGCCCAUUGUGCAAUAUUCCCCACUGCUGCCUCCCGUAGGAGUCUGGGCCGUGUCUCAGUCCCAGUGUGGCCGGUCACCCUCUCAGGCCGGCUACCCGUCGACGCCUUGGUGAGCCAUUACCUCACCAACAAGCUGAUAGGCCGCGAGCCCAUCCCAGACCGAAAAAUCUUUCCAAACACGACCAUGCGAUCACGUCUCAUAUCCAGUAUUAGACGCCGUUUCCAGCGCUUAUCCCAGAGUCCAGGGCAGGUUGCUCACGUGUUACUCACCCGUUCGCCACUGAUCCACCAAGCAAGCUUGGCUUCACCGUUCGACUUGCAUGUGUUAAGCACGCCGCCAGCGUUCAUCUGA